UUUGAUGCAGAUUCUUUUUUCUUUUGCAAGAAGCAGUCUAACAGGUCAAAUUUACUAAAGAUUAUUAUGCAUACCUUAACUUGCAGGGGUGCAGAGGAAUGUAUUUUGACUCGAUGUAGCACGCCUGACAUUAUGCAAACCUUAUCUUAAUGACAUCAUUUAGGACACCUCAGCGAAGCACAUUAACUUCUGUAACUUGAGCAGACGAGGAAAGCAAACAUGAACGAGGCAAACUAAUGCCUCAAAAAAUGGAACGAACUUAUCGGAGCAGCUGAAAAGACUCAGCCUAAUACAUUAACAUGCUCAAUAGUUUUGCUGUCCAAGGCUUCUCAAAGAAGAGAAAUAACCCCAAAGCAUAACACUGUGGGACUUCCUAUUACUGUAUAUACACUAUCCAUCAGACUUGUGGUUCUGCAGUAAGUCAGACCCCUGCUAGUUUAAGCCAGGCGUCUCUCUGCAUACGUGACUCACAGCCAAAACAAGCACCUCCUUUUUCCUGCGUUUAAGGCCUACUGAACUAAUCAGAGACGUAGAGAAGAAAAACAAGGGGGGAAUUCUGGGCUUCAGCCUCACCCCAUCAGUUAAGCUACACACGGCACAUUUGGCAAAGACCAGCCUGCUUGAGGAAGCACGGACAGGCAGUACUAUGUAUUGCCAACAAUGGAUGGCAGGAAAUCUUGAUAAAAUGGAAGAACCAGUGGGGAACAACCAGCACAAUGAGGGAUAUUUAAGAGCACCCUCUGGCUGCCUUUCUUUCACCAAGAGCAUAUGGAAGAGUUGCAGAGCAGUAAUGGGAACAGCUCUCAG
Non-coding RNA from Podarcis muralis (Common wall lizard), 807 nucleotides. NCBI's taxonomy places the organism in Eukaryota, Metazoa, Chordata, Lepidosauria, Squamata, Lacertidae. The record is from RefSeq and is a predicted model, not a curated record.